Molecule: long non-coding RNA, 879 nt
Filed under: Homo sapiens (human)
Lineage: Eukaryota; Metazoa; Chordata; Mammalia; Primates; Hominidae
Description: HSALNT0047926
Source: RNAcentral
CUGUGCCCGGCCUGACAUUUUUUUAUAAAGAAAGAUGAAGGAACUUUGAAAUGCCUUUCCUGAGCCUGGCUAGGAAAGUGGAACUUGAGUUAUCUUACAGGGUUUAUAGCUCCCAAAGGUAAAGCAGAGACUUUUUGGAGGGGAAAAUUUGAAAAAUUAACUAGUUGACUGAAUUGGCAGGUUAAAAGUGAGUUAAAGUUGACCCUCGAACAACGUGGGUUCGAAUUGUGCAGAUCAGUAUAUAUAUGCAGAUUUUCUUCUGCUUCUGCCAACGUGAGACAGCAAGACCAUCCCCCUUUUCCUCCUCCUCUUUAGCCUACUCAGCGUGAAGACAAGGAUGAAGACCUUUUUGAUCAUCCGUGUCCACUUAAUGAAUAGUAAAUAUAUUUUCUUUGAUUUCUUUAAUAUUUUUAGCUUUGUUGUAAGAAUAAGGUUUAUAAUCUAUAUAAUAAAAUAUGUGUUAAUUGAUUAUUUAUUAAUAUAUCAUCAGUAAGGCUUCCAGUCAGCCAUAGGUUAUUAGGAGUUAAGUUUUUGGGAAGUUUAAAGUUAAUAUACAGAUUUACUGCUACAUGAGGGGUCAACAUCCCUAAUCCCUGCAUUGUUCAAGGGUCAACUAUAUUUUACCUUUUUUUCAGAGUUAACUUCAACUCCUAGUAAUGGAACACAAGGAUAGAGGACCAAAACCAGUGGUAAAAUGCCAUUUAUAUGUGUUACUCACAAGUAAACAUGAUUUGAUAAGCAUCUCAUUGGCACUGUAGGAGAAAAGAGAUUAUAUGACAAACUUUUCUGGAAAGCAAAAGACAUGUCUUCUGACCACUUAUCCAGCAUCUGUGAGAUGGCAGAAUCUAGCUGUGGAGCCAGCUCACCUUGUUCUUCCCU